Molecule: long non-coding RNA, 212 nt
Filed under: Lathyrus oleraceus (garden pea)
Lineage: Eukaryota; Viridiplantae; Streptophyta; Magnoliopsida; Fabales; Fabaceae
Description: Pisum sativum (pea) long non-coding RNA (PSAT_LNC031764)
Source: RNAcentral
GCCGGUGAAAGGAACUUUCCGGCGGAAAACAGAGGGAGUACGGUGAGAGGUUUGGCGUUGGAAAGAAGAAGAGUAAAAAAUAAUUCAUUUUUUAUUUUCCUCUGUGUUUUGAGAGAGAGAGAAGGGAGAGUUUAUUACUUUUUCUUUUCUUUUUUAAUACAUAUUUUUUUUAGAGAGAGACUGAUAGAGUGGAGUGUGAUGAUGGAAAUGAG